RNAcentral lists this ribosomal RNA (396 nucleotides) under uncultured bacterium. RNAcentral's name for it is "partial 16S ribosomal RNA". It matches the Rfam family "Bacterial small subunit ribosomal RNA", at positions 338 to 731 of the family's 1533-position model. The record is from RNAcentral.
CCUACGGGAGGCAGCAGUGAGGAAUAUUGGUCAAUGGGCGCGAGCCUGAACCAGCCAAGUAGCGUGAAGGAUGACUGCCCUACGGGUUGUAAACUUCUUUUAUCAAGGAAUAAAGUGAGGCACGUGUGCCUUUUUGUCUGUACUUUAUGAAUAAGGAUCGGCUAACUCCGUGCCAGCAACCGCGGUAAUACGGAGGAUCCGAGCGUUAUCCGGAUUUAUUGGGUUUAAAGGGUGCGGAGGUGGGUUGUUAAGUCAGUUGUGAAAGGUUGCGGCUCAACCGUAAAAUUGCAAUUGAUACUGGCAGGCUUGAGUACAGGAGAGGUAGGCGGAAUGCGCGGUGUAGCGGUGAAAUGCUUAGAUAUCACGAAGAACCCCGAUUGCGAAGGCAGCUUACUA